Long non-coding RNA from Etheostoma spectabile (orangethroat darter), 140 nucleotides. RefSeq lists it as uncharacterized. The transcript has 4 exons. The record is from RefSeq and is a predicted model, not a curated record. NCBI's taxonomy places the organism in Eukaryota, Metazoa, Chordata, Actinopteri, Perciformes, Percidae.
UUUUUUUUUGUAUUGUUGUGACAAGUUUGUGAGUUUGUGAAGGGUAUGAAACACAGUAACACUGCCACUAAGCCCACCUUCCUCCUACCUGUUUAUCUCCGUACUGCCAUUUUGUCAAAAAAAAAAAUAAUAUUCAGGGC